CAGCAUAUUUAAGGCGCAACGAACACGGUUUUACUGACAUUUCAAGCAGCAACAGCCAUUAUAGCCAUACUCGUUCAACGUGUAGACUAGUAUCGUAAGUGAAAGUAAAGGGCAUCAAAAAAUAGUGCGGAGGUAGCUAGGAGAUCGUAGCAAUAGCAUGUGUCGUUGAACAAAGCAUUGAAAUCUUAAAAAGACGGUGGAGUAUUUGAAGAUAUGAUAAGAGGGGAAGGUAUUACCCCACAAAAGUGGAAGAUUUGCUAAAAUUUGUGAGGCAUUACAUAACAUCUGCAUAAAAUUUACAAUUAGUUACGACUCUCAAAAAUUCGUAUCACACACAAAAAAUGGACAACGGGGUAGCGAACCGCUUCACCGCAAUCGACCAAAUAAAUAAUUUUAAAUCAAAAAUGUAUAUAUCCUUAUCCUUGUAAAUAAUUUAAUUUUUAUUGGCAACUAAAAUACAAAAAUUUUAUCACAUAAAUAAUUUUUAUUUUUUAAUUUUUAAUGAGAUAUUCCAUUCAUUGGUUUCUUGUUUAAGUUCUUUAUUCCUAAAAAAAUAAAAAAAACUUAAAAUUUAAAAAAAAAUUUACUCACAUUUCCAUAAAUUUGUAUAUUACGAUUGGUAGUUACGUAGGUUUAUAUAGGUAGGAUACGUUUAUAUACUCGUUCACGUGUGUCAUCUUGCUAGAUUACGAUAGAAGCGUUACGAUCACGUAUAUAAGCGUUACGGUCACGUAUGUCAUAAUACGAAAUACAGACUUUUCCGUGACGAGUGAUACGUUCACGGAUGUAACGAUUCG
Molecule: long non-coding RNA, 797 nt
Organism: Bactrocera dorsalis (oriental fruit fly)
Lineage: Eukaryota; Metazoa; Arthropoda; Insecta; Diptera; Tephritidae
Exons: 3
Source: RefSeq, a predicted model, not a curated record